RNAcentral lists this ribosomal RNA (113 nucleotides) under Zingiber officinale. Lineage: Eukaryota; Viridiplantae; Streptophyta; Magnoliopsida; Zingiberales; Zingiberaceae. The record is from RNAcentral.
GUGAUCAUUCCAGCACUAAUGCACCGGAUCCCAUCAGAACUCCGAAGUUAAGCGUGCUUGGGCGAUAGCAGUACUUGGAUGGGUGACCCCUGGGAAGUCCUCGUGUUGCACCU